CGCUGGCGGCAUGCCUUACACAUGCAAGUCGAACGGCAGCACGGGAGCAAUCCUGGUGGCGAGUGGCGAACGGGUGAGUAAUAUAUCGGAACGUGCCCAAUCGUGGGGGAUAACGCAGCGAAAGCUGUGCUAGUACCGCAUACGAUCUACGGAUGAAAGCGGGGGACUCAGCAAUGGGCCUCGCGCGAAUGGAGCGGCCGAUAUCAGAUUAGCUAGUUGGUGGGGUAAAGGCUCACCAAGGCGACGAUCUGUAGCUGGUCUGAGAGGACGACCAGCCACACUGGAACUGAGACACGGUCCAGACUCCUACGGGAGGCAGCAGUGGGGAAUUUUGGACAAUGGGCGCAAGCCUGAUCCAGCAAUGCCGCGUGCAGGAUGAAGGCCUUCGGGUUGUAAACUGCUUUUGUACGGAACGAAAAGACUCCUUCUAAUAAAGGGGGUUCAUGACGGUACCGUAAGAAUAAGCACCGGCUAACUACGUGCCAGCAGCCGCGGUAAUA
This 500-nucleotide ribosomal RNA is filed under the name uncultured bacterium. RNAcentral's name for it is "bacterial SSU rRNA". It matches the Rfam family "Bacterial small subunit ribosomal RNA", at positions 34 to 525 of the family's 1533-position model. The record is from RNAcentral.